This 674-nucleotide ribosomal RNA is filed under the name uncultured bacterium. RNAcentral describes it as "bacterial SSU rRNA". The stretch from base 1 to 477 matches the Rfam family "Bacterial small subunit ribosomal RNA", at positions 100 to 541 of the family's 1533-position model. The record is from RNAcentral.
CGGGUAGCGUAACACGUAUAGUAACCUACCUUAGAUCAGGGGGAUAGCCUCUCGAAAGAGAGAUUAAGACCGCAUAAUAUAGAAGAUACAGCAUUGUACUUUCAUCAAUAUUAUAGGAUCAAGAUAGGGCAUAGCGGAACAUUAGCUAGUAGGUAAGGUAAUAGGCUUAACCAAGGCUAACGAUGUUGAGGGGAUCUGAUGAGGAUAGGCCCCCCACACUAGGUACUAGAGACACGGACCAAACCUCAUAACGGGAGGCAGCAGUAAAGGAAUAUAUGGUCAAUAGGGCGCAAGCCUAGAACCAGCCAUAGCCUGCGUAGCAGGAAGACGGCCCUACGGGUAUAGUAAACUAGCUUUUAUAACCGGAAUAAAACCUACAGGUACGUAGACCUAGGGCUAGAAUAGUACGGUAAGAAUAAGGAUACGGCUAAACUACCGUAGCCAGCAGCCGCGGUAAAUACGGAGGAUACCAAGCGUAUAUCCGGAUUUCAUUGGGUUUAAACGGGUAGCGUACGGUAGGCCUAGUAUAAAGUACACGGGUGUAGAAAGACGGUAAGGCUACAACUAAUACGCAGUUGCCCUUGAAUAACUAGACGGGCUUAGAAUAGAACUAGAGGUAGGGCCGGAAUGUAGACAAGUAGCCGGUGAAAUGCAUAGGAUAUAGUCACAGGAAC